GUAUUCCUCUAUAGCAACACAGACUAAUACAAAUAAUAUACAUUGUUACCUAUGAAGAGGAAAGAAUAUGCUAGUGGGGCAUAGAGAUUUAACAAAUAUGCAUGUGAAAAAACAAAGUAAGUAAUGAAUAAAUAAGAAAGGGGUUCUGCAUGAACCAAAGAACUGAGUCCCACUAAUUGAGGAGUAUAAUUGCCUUACCCUUCUCCAAUGGAGACACAAAAACAAAAGAAGAAAAGAGAUGAAGCUGUAUAUGUCUCUUUCAAGCUUCAGGCCCACCCACCUCUUCCUAGUUUUAUCUCUUUAGGCCAUUUAAACAUCUCCUUGUUAGAUAAUUAGGUAACCCCAGAGGCUGUUCUGAUGAUUACCUGAAUUAAUGUAUAAAGACAUCUGUCACUGAGUAUAUACUCAAAUACUGGUUUCCUCUUCCUCAUUUUAAUAUUUUCUUUUUCAUCUGCCUUUCACCUAGUAGUUCUUUAUUUGAAAUCUUUCAAAACCCUUCACCAUUGUGUUCAUUCUCCCCUGUUUUUUUCUUUCUCUUUUGAAGUAUGGUCACCUUAGUACCCUACUGAAAGUAUGUUUCUGAUGCGUCCCUCUUCUGGAGAUGGCACAUCUGUGAAUGCAGGCUGGGAAGACAUGGGUGGUUUCAGCAGCCACGUCGCCACCCACCCAGCCUCCAUCCCUACCCUGGAAAUCUAUCGUGUAACUCUGCUGCUAAAGCCCUUUCUCUCCUAUCCUCUCUUGCUUUCUCCCCUGUGUCCACACCGGAGCUGUCUUUGUCAAAGGUAGUGUGUACUUUUACUUUUGGCUGCUGAAAUAUUGUUCUCACUUUGAGAUCAAUUGCCUUAAAGUGCUUUGUUAACCCCUCAAACGGGAAAUCGCAGCACUUUCUCCAAAGGGACAAUUUUCUGUAGAAGAAGCUAUUUAAAUAGCAGCACAAGAUUGAAGACAACACAUUUAACUGUGAAAAGGUCAUCCUCAGUAGUCUUAAGAAUAAGGUGGGUUUUGUUUUUUUUUUUCUGUUCUGUAUGUUGAACUGGUUUAGAAAACUCCAGAUUCUUGUUAACUUUGACAAUUGGAAAAGCCAUUAAGGGAUGAUUACAAGACCUUCCAUCUAUAGGCACUUGUUAAUUAUCUGCAUCCUGCAGGGAAGAGAAUGAAGUUGGGAGGAAAAGGGAACAAAGAACAGGGAAAAAAGAACAGAGAGAAAUCAGCUGCAGAACUCCAACUUGAAGUCCUCUCAUCAGCAUUGGCUUCUUGUUUUUCUGCAGAGCGAACUUUUCAUGAAAUUUGAGUCCUGAGGUGCCUCUUUGUCCUUUCAGACUCACUAUCUGCUCUUUCUGCCUUUUUAACUCCCCCGAGGGUAGAUGGGCAGGCUGCUCUCCUGUGACACAGUGCCAUUUUUUAGAGUUAAUUCUUAUGUCUUUUGCUUCCUUUCAGGAAAAUGUUCAUUGCUUGACAUUGUAACAGGCUCCUUAAAUACCUGUGAAAGGGUAAAGUUCACUAAAACAGAAUCCAUUGCUUCUGGUUGAAUAGCAAUAAUACUUGAUUCAAAAUCUUAACCUUCCAACUAUUAAAAUGUUAAAUGUAAACAGACUCUUAUGUUGCCUUAAAUAAAUGCCUUCCUUAAAAAACAAAAACAAAAACAACUGUUUCUCAAAUUAAUUUUCCCAGAUUCAUAGAUUUCUCUCCUUAACCUGAUAAUUGGCCAAACAGUAUUUACUCCUAAAUACUGUUUCUAAAUUCUUGUGUUCAGCGCACUGGGAUGCAUGAGGGUAUAUUUUUUAAGGCACAAAGAAAAUUUGUUUGCCUGUGAUCUCACUAAUAGGUGUUUAUUGCCCUCCUGGAGCCACAGUUGCUGUGUCAUCUCAAGGCUGGAAUUCUGGAUGAAGAGGAGGAGCUUUUUUGGGGUAGAACCUGAAGGAUGGGGAUGGGGCAUUCAUUUAUUCAUAAAAUUAUAUGCUCUCCUUGGACAUAUAGAAAAAAUCGUGUAUGGCAGAUGAACCUGACAGCAAUAACAUAAGUGUAUCCCAAGAAUGACACUGUAUGGCAGAUGAACCUGACAGCAACAAGUUAAGCAUACCCUGAGAAUGACCAUAUGGUCUAAGAAGAAUGCAUAUUCAGAGUUGGGAGCUACAGAAUCUGGGUGUGGCCAACCUGGAGAUUCAUUCCUUGUCUAUGAGGGACAUCUGAGCCUUCAGCCCAUCCUGUGGAAUGCAGGCAAUACAGGGGACCAAGGCCCAUUGUUUUAGAUUAAAUGAAGAUUUCCAAGUGGAGGUUGCUAAGUGAAAAUGCUGUAUAAAUUGCAUGCUUUUAAUAAGUGGUUGCAGUUCUCCUCUCCAGCCCACUGCCACUGGACCACCCCUGUAUGUAAGUUUCCUCAACAAACCCUAUGUAUUCUUCACUGGCUCUAGGUCUCUUCUUGGGCCUCUUAAACAUGGUGCGGUUUCUGCUGAAGUCAUAGGGGUCCAGCAUGUCAAAGCGUCAAAUCAGCAUUGUAAUCUAAAGACUUUUCUCACCCAAUCCUAUUCCACAUCCCUACUCCCACCUUGCUUUUUGCCUCUACAGUCACAAUAAAGCUCUCCCA
RNAcentral lists this long non-coding RNA (2584 nucleotides) under Homo sapiens (human). Its description in RNAcentral is "HSALNT0329086". Lineage: Eukaryota; Metazoa; Chordata; Mammalia; Primates; Hominidae. The record is from RNAcentral.